Onychostoma macrolepis is the source of this 229-nucleotide long non-coding RNA. RefSeq lists it as uncharacterized. Lineage: Eukaryota; Metazoa; Chordata; Actinopteri; Cypriniformes; Cyprinidae. The transcript is spliced from 3 exons. The record is from RefSeq and is a predicted model, not a curated record.
CCAGCGAAGAUGGCUGACAGUCAGAGUUGAAGUGGAAGAAUUAAAUAGGGUGAUAGAGAAACAACUGAGAAAAGAGGGGAGAGCAUCCAGGUGGAAGGAGUCAGUGAAGACGUCGUCCAUGAAGUUCUUUCUAUGUGGUUCACAUCAUGAACAAAUUUGUUUUUGUGUGUUUUCAAGUUCAACUGUUGUAAUAUAUUAUUUUAUAAAAUAUACACAAUCUUAAAUCUAC